This 594-nucleotide ribosomal RNA is filed under the name Triticum aestivum (bread wheat). RNAcentral describes it as "partial small subunit ribosomal RNA". Lineage: Eukaryota; Viridiplantae; Streptophyta; Magnoliopsida; Poales; Poaceae. The record is from RNAcentral.
AUGGUUAUCCACGGUAGAAAGGAAAGCAACCUUGAUUUACCAAUUCCCCUUAUUUAUGAGGGUGUGCUAAUCCGAUUGCAGAUUGCUGAUGUAUACAAUUAUUGGCCAUUGUCUGAAAUGUUUUUCUUAGUGUUUAGUUGUGUUGUGUUGUCAAUAAUUUAUAUGCUGCCAUGGGUGUUGAUGAUAAUGAGCAGCUUGGAUCUAUCUGGGACUGGGAUAAUAAUUGUGGCACUGUGCUGUCAAUACUGUGUGCAAAACACUAACGGUGCGAAAAAUACCAAGAAUUUCAUCAAGCAGCCAUCUUUACAGUGUUUCAAGCCUAAAUUGUGGUGGGCCUUUCUCACCCAGUUUACUGUUCCAAAUUCUGAAUUGAAGUCGCUGAUUCUUGUCAUGUAUCUCAAGGAUUCAAUGAUUUAUCCAUUUCCCCCCUUUUUCCAACACCAGAAGCAUUUUUCGGUUUGGCAAACAGUAGAAUUGCUGAUUGGUGAUGGUACAGAACAGUGCUGUCAUAUUUCCAGCAAGAGUAAGAGGCCAGCUGAGAAGGGGAGAACUCGAGUUGUCAUCGUGGAAAUGGUCCUCCACUGUCUCGGCUAG